Molecule: ribosomal RNA, 474 nt
Filed under: uncultured bacterium
Lineage: Bacteria
Description: bacterial SSU rRNA
Rfam family: Bacterial small subunit ribosomal RNA
Source: RNAcentral
AUUGAACGCUGGCGGCAGGCUUAACACAUGCAAGUCGAGCGGAGACUUCGGUCUCAGCGGCGAACGGGUGAGUAAUACCUAGGAAUCUGCCUAUUAGUGGGGGAUAACGAAUCGAAAGGUUCGCUAAUACCGCAUACGUCCUACGGGAGAAAGGGGGGGAUCUUCGGACCUCUCGCUAAUAGAUGAGCCUAGGCCGGAUUAGCUAGUUGGUAGGGUAAAGGCCUACCAAGGCGACGAUCUGUAGCUGGUCUGAGAGGAUGGCCAGCCACAUCGGGACUGAGACACGGCCCGGACUCCUACGGGAGGCAGCAGUCGGGAAUAUUGGACAAUGGGCGCAAGCCUGAUCCAGCAAUACCGCGUGUGUGAAGAAGGCCUGCGGGUUGUAAAGCACUUUCAGUUGGGAAGAUAAUGACGUUACCAACAGAAGAAGCACCGGCUAACUCCGUGCCAGCAGCCGCGGUAGUGUAGUCGUGU